Molecule: long non-coding RNA, 454 nt
Filed under: Homo sapiens (human)
Lineage: Eukaryota; Metazoa; Chordata; Mammalia; Primates; Hominidae
Description: HSALNT0087605
Source: RNAcentral
UGUAAAGCAUAGGAAUUCCUCUUUCAAAAUAAUAGAAUAACCACAGAUUUGUUAGAAUCUAUUCUCUAAAGAUAGCUUUCAUUUAAAAGAGAUAGAUCUGCCAGUUACAUGCUAAUUUUCUGUUUCUUCAGACUGUCAAAAUCAUUCCUUUACACAACUGCACAUGCCAUGUAGCUAAAUAAUGGCCAAGGAGAUAACAUCACAAGUGUUUUGUGAUUCCCAGAAUUCUCAGAGGAAAAUGGAUAUGCCUACUUUUUACCCUCAUUUUUCCUACUGUCUACUAGUAGAUGUGAUGGCUCAAUUUUGAGGCACCAUUUUGUACCAUGAGGUGACAUACUAAGAAUGGCGAAGCAGCAAGAUAAGGAUCCUGAUGACUCAGACAACAGAUUAGUCCUGGAUUACGCAUCUCUAGGCUACUUUCACAUGAAAGAGAAAUAAACUCUAUGUUAUUGUA